RNAcentral lists this ribosomal RNA (363 nucleotides) under uncultured Thermus sp. RNAcentral describes it as "bacterial SSU rRNA". It matches the Rfam family "Bacterial small subunit ribosomal RNA", at positions 1017 to 1382 of the family's 1533-position model. Lineage: Bacteria; Thermotogati; Deinococcota; Deinococci; Thermales; Thermaceae. The record is from RNAcentral.
GCGAGGGGAGCCCUAGCACAGGUGCUGCAUGGCCGUCGUCAGCUCGUGCCGUGAGGUGUUGGGUUAAGUCCCGCAACGAGCGCAACCCCCGCGUUAGUGCCAGCGGUUCGGCCGGGCACUCUAACGGGACUGCCCGCGAAAGCGGGAGGAAGGAGGGGACGACGUCUGGUCAGCAUGGCCCUUACGGCCUGGGCGACACACGUGCUACAAUGCCCACUACAAAGCGAUGCCACCCGGCAACGGGGAGCUAAUCGCAAAAAGGUGGGCCCAGUUCGGAUUGGGGUCUGCAACCCGACCCCAUGAAGCCGGAAUCGCUAGUAAUCGCGGAUCAGCCAUGCCGCGGUGAAUACGUUCCCGGGCCUU